UACGGAGGGUGCAAGCGUUAUCCGGAUUCACUGGGUUUAAAGGGAGCGUAGGUGGGUUGGUAAGUCAGUGGUGAAAUCCCCGAGCUUAACUUGGGAACUGCCAUUGAUACUAUCAGUCUUGAAUGCUGUGGAGGUUAGCGGAAUAUGUCAUGUAGCGGUGAAAUGCUUAGAUAUGACAUAGAACACCAAUUGCGAAGGCAGCUGGCUACACAAAUAUUGACACUGAGGCUCGAAAGCGUGGGGAUCAAACAGG
This 253-nucleotide ribosomal RNA is filed under the name uncultured bacterium. RNAcentral's name for it is "partial 16S ribosomal RNA". It matches the Rfam family "Bacterial small subunit ribosomal RNA", at positions 524 to 776 of the family's 1533-position model. The record is from RNAcentral.